Molecule: ribosomal RNA, 463 nt
Filed under: Vreelandella stevensii
Lineage: Bacteria; Pseudomonadati; Pseudomonadota; Gammaproteobacteria; Oceanospirillales; Halomonadaceae
Description: partial 16S ribosomal RNA
Rfam family: Bacterial small subunit ribosomal RNA
Source: RNAcentral
CCUACGGGCGGCAGCAGUGGGGAAUAUUGGACAAUGGGGGGAACCCUGAUCCAGCCAUGCCGCGUGUGAAGAAGGCCCUCGGGUUGUAAAGCACUUUCAGUGAGAAAGAACGCCUGGUGGUUAAUACCCAUCAGGAAAGACAUCACUCACAGAAGAAGCACCGGCUAACUCCGUGCCAGCAGCCGCGGUAAUACGGAGGGUGCGAGCGUUAAUCGGAAUUACUGGGCGUAAAGCGCGCGUAGGUGGCUUGAUAAGCCGGUUGUGAAAGCCCCGGGCUCAACCUGGGAACGGCAUCCGGAACUGUCAAGCUAGAGUGCAGGAGAGGAAGGUAGAAUUCCCGGUGUAGCGGUGAAAUGCGUAGAGAUCGGGAGGAAUACCAGUGGCGAAGGCGGCCUUCUGGACUGACACUGACACUGAGGUGCGAAAGCGUGGGUAGCAAACAGGAUUAGAUACCCCGGUAGUC